UAUUGGUUUAGCACGGAUCGGGUCGGCAGGAAGUCCGCCAUGUUUCAACCAGCUUCAUCGAUACACGGGAGAGAGUUUGCGCGUUCAUGUGAGGAGCGCGGAAACGCUACUGUCUACUCUACGCCAUAGAAAUAUAAUGAUUUCUAUGUGGAGUCUGUGAUGCCGGAUAUGCAGGAUCUAAAGACUGGAGUCAAGUCACAACCCCAGAGACUGGUUAUCACUACUAUACCUCACGCUAUCACAGAGUUACUGUAACGAUGUGAACUGAGAGUCGGGAAGCAAGUUCAGGGAGUGAAUACAUUUAAUAAACGAAACAAACACAUAACACCGACAGCGCACUGACAUGACACAAAUACAGAUACAAUGACAAC
Long non-coding RNA from Salvelinus sp. IW2-2015, 371 nucleotides. RefSeq lists it as uncharacterized. NCBI's taxonomy places the organism in Eukaryota, Metazoa, Chordata, Actinopteri, Salmoniformes, Salmonidae. The record is from RefSeq and is a predicted model, not a curated record.